Sarcophilus harrisii (Tasmanian devil) is the source of this 627-nucleotide long non-coding RNA. RefSeq lists it as uncharacterized. The transcript is spliced from 3 exons. NCBI's taxonomy places the organism in Eukaryota, Metazoa, Chordata, Mammalia, Dasyuromorphia, Dasyuridae. The record is from RefSeq and is a predicted model, not a curated record.
CAGUCGCAAAAGCAGCAGCACGGCUCGCUACGAGUUCCACUGAAGAACUCCCGGUGCAGAGCAAACUCUCCAACUUAGGACGGAAAGGUGGAGUAAAGAUAGGUAAGCCAUGGAUUCCCCAUUGUGGAUUCUCCUUAUUGCUUCCGAAAGAAUCAAACUGAUAUCAACAGUCUUUAUCUUGGGACACUGCAGCUUCUGUACUUCAUGAGGAACUGUGUUGGUCACAACCACCUAAAGCCACAAGGCUGUUUCACACUGUAUGUUAUCCUGAGUUUACAAUUAUUCUGGCUACUUCAACUAAAGACCACCCUAAGCCAAGGAUGAACAAAGCAAUAAGCCUUGUAUGUGGCUGUCUUACUAGCCCAAACAGCAGGAUUUUAGUGUAUAUAAGUAUAAAUAUUUAAUCUCUCAUUCAAGCUCUUGAUAAAUCAAGUUCAUUGGAACCACACCAGAAGAAUUCCUCAAUAAGGGAAUAAGACUGUGCCCCAGGAAAGAAAUUCUAAGGAGAGUUGUGGGUGAAUGCAAAAUUAAAAUAAACUAAACGCUAGGUAGGAGGAAUCUGAACUUGGGACACAGGCUUACCUUUGUGAUAAAAAUAAUAUUUGUUAUUAAAUAUCAUGGAAGUAA